GGCCCGUUCGUCUAGUGGUUAGGACACCAGGUUUUCAUCCUGGUAACAGGGGUUCGAUUCCCCUACGGGCUA
This 72-nucleotide transfer RNA is filed under the name Candidatus Magasanikiibacteriota bacterium. RNAcentral describes it as "tRNA-Glu". It matches the Rfam family "tRNA". From Rfam's summary of the family: Transfer RNA (tRNA) molecules are approximately 80 nucleotides in length. RNAcentral also lists the same sequence under 1 other name. The record is from RNAcentral. Lineage: Bacteria; Candidatus Magasanikiibacteriota.